RNAcentral lists this non-coding RNA (176 nucleotides) under Gammaproteobacteria bacterium LSUCC0057. RNAcentral's name for it is "6S / SsrS RNA". It matches the Rfam family "6S / SsrS RNA". From Rfam's summary of the family: E. coli 6S RNA was the first non coding RNA to be sequenced, but its function was unknown until recently. It consists of 184 nucleotides that fold into an extended hairpin structure with a large single-stranded internal bulge. Lineage: Bacteria; Pseudomonadati; Pseudomonadota; Gammaproteobacteria; Cellvibrionales; Porticoccaceae. The record is from Rfam by way of RNAcentral.
UCUCUCCUGGGGUGUUGGCCAGUCGCGAAGUCCUUGAGCCGAUACUUUUUACCCGGCCUCGCUGCGUGAGAGCUGUUGUGCAUGUCCGCUGGACGGAAAGCCUGAAGCACUCCCUGCGUCGCCCCCUUGAACCUUUCGGUUCAAGGCCAUGCCGACAGCGGCACCUCGGGCCCUCA